Molecule: long non-coding RNA, 249 nt
Organism: Hypomesus transpacificus
Lineage: Eukaryota; Metazoa; Chordata; Actinopteri; Osmeriformes; Osmeridae
Exons: 3
Source: RefSeq, a predicted model, not a curated record
AGGGACUCCAUGGUUUGUGGGUUUUACAAGCCAUUGAGUCCAACCACUGCAGUCAAGAGGCAUUCAGAGGCCUAUCAUUAUUCUGAGCAGGUCCGACUUCUCCCGGUACUUUUGCCCCAGAGCAUUUGCGCUUGCCCAGCAAGUUCAUGCCGGAUGAUCAGUGGCAAGUCCAUCAUUCUGAUAGGAAUGAAUGGACGCUACAACCUCACCCUUCCAGCUAUGGAGUGCUCCAUCUGUCUGGCAACAUGG